RNAcentral lists this ribosomal RNA (545 nucleotides) under Fusarium oxysporum f. sp. pisi. RNAcentral's name for it is "eukaryotic LSU rRNA". The stretch from base 179 to 332 matches the Rfam family "5.8S ribosomal RNA". The record is from RNAcentral. Lineage: Eukaryota; Fungi; Ascomycota; Sordariomycetes; Hypocreales; Nectriaceae.
UCCGUAGGUGAACCUGCGGAGGGAUCAUUACCGAGUUUACAACUCCCAAACCCCUGUGAACAUACCACUUGUUGCCUCGGCGGAUCAGCCCGCUCCCGGUAAAACGGGACGGCCCGCCAGAGGACCCCUAAACUCUGUUUCUAUAUGUAACUUCUGAGUAAAACCAUAAAUAAAUCAAAACUUUCAACAACGGAUCUCUUGGUUCUGGCAUCGAUGAAGAACGCAGCAAAAUGCGAUAAGUAAUGUGAAUUGCAGAAUUCAGUGAAUCAUCGAAUCUUUGAACGCACAUUGCGCCCGCCAGUAUUCUGGCGGGCAUGCCUGUUCGAGCGUCAUUUCAACCCUCAAGCACAGCUUGGUGUUGGGACUCGCGUUAAUUCGCGUUCCUCAAAUUGAUUGGCGGUCACGUCGAGCUUCCAUAGCGUAGUAGUAAAACCCUCGUUACUGGUAAUCGUCGCGGCCACGCCGUUAAACCCCCAACUUCUGAAUGUUGACCUCGGAUCAGGUAGGAAUACCCGCUGAACUUAAGCAUAUCAAUAAGCGGAGGA